Molecule: long non-coding RNA, 647 nt
Organism: Oreochromis niloticus (Nile tilapia)
Lineage: Eukaryota; Metazoa; Chordata; Actinopteri; Cichliformes; Cichlidae
Exons: 3
Source: RefSeq, a predicted model, not a curated record
AUCACCAAUGACAUUGUUUUUCUAUUACUCGUACACUAGAUGGCGACAGACAACAGGAAAUAAAAAACAGACUGUGGUCAUGUGAAGAAAAUUCACUGCAGGAACCUUCACAAAGUGGAUUCUGGGUAAACCUUCAGGGCUCACAUCAGCAGGUGGGAUAGGUGAGAACAGGACACCUGUUGGCAAUUGUUCAUUGCGACCUGCCUUACCCCCUCUCACCCCGCCUGCCUUCACUUGCUCACCUGCUUGGAAACCUGGAACUCUUUCCUGGAGAAAAUGAGGAGAAACUCACCUGCUGCGAGGAGACUCAACCUGAGUGUGAAAGCUUUAAAUCUCUUGACUGUGUUCUGCGUUUGAAUCUUUUUGUGUUUAAUUAGAAACCUCUGCUAUAUUUGACAUGAACAUGCACCACAGUAACAGCAAAUAUAUGACCGGAAAUCAGGAGGAGAAUAAGAUCACAGCAUACACAGACAACUGAAGAAGACAGAAAAGGGCAACACCAUCAAAUCAAAAACGCCUGUUAUCUGAGUGCACAUCUGCCUGAGUCACCCAUAAGCAGAGCAUCUCAUAAUGUGAGACCAAACUCGAUUAAACGAGGAGUCCAGCUUCAGAGUUUUCUGUCUGGCUCUCUCUCCACCUCCAUCACA